GCAAUUUGAAGCUAAAAACCAUUGCUCGUUGUGAGUGGCUGUAAUUUUGGUUCAAACGGAAACAAAACGGAAACAAAAUUAGAACUUCUGACUUGCGAGAGAGCAAUAUCAUGAAGAGAACACACAUGAAUGAUAAUAAGUUAAUGAGAAAAAAAUUGGAAUAAAGGAAGGAUAAACUCUAACAUCUAGAGUAAUAUUCAUUAAGUCGACAUAUCAAUUGGAAUAAAUUGGAAGAAAUGAGAAAAUUUAUAGAUAAAAGCUAAAUAAAUUUAUCGAUAUUAGUUUUUCGACAUAUAUCAAUUCAUUAAGUAAUAUUCAAUCAACAUAAGAUAUAUAAACUCUAACAUCUUGAUUCUAUAUCAAAUACAAAACAUUGCCUCGACUAAAAAUUGUAUUGCUGAUUUUGAGCGCCUUGAAGUCGAAUAAUAUAGACACAUGCUCCACAAUGGGAUCCUGAGAAAGUAGAAUUAACGAUUAACAAUAAGAUACACAAAAAAUAAAAUCAACCCCAAAAUCUACAACCAAAUGAUUAAACUUUUAUGUUUUUUUGUUUACAAAAAACUUCCAUGCUUUUAAAACACAGAAUAUACUUCUUUUUUUUAUUUUUUAUGAAUUUGUUUAUGGAGGAAGAGAUGGGG
Molecule: long non-coding RNA, 638 nt
Filed under: Medicago truncatula (barrel medic)
Lineage: Eukaryota; Viridiplantae; Streptophyta; Magnoliopsida; Fabales; Fabaceae
Description: long non-coding RNA (MTRU_LNC003843)
Source: RNAcentral